RNAcentral lists this ribosomal RNA (253 nucleotides) under uncultured bacterium. RNAcentral's name for it is "partial 16S ribosomal RNA". It matches the Rfam family "Bacterial small subunit ribosomal RNA", at positions 524 to 776 of the family's 1533-position model. The record is from RNAcentral.
GACGUAGGGCGCGAGCGUUGUCCGGAUUUAUUGGGCGUAAAGAGCUCGUAGGCGGCUUGUUGCGUCAGCUGUGAAAACCCGCAGCUCAACUGUGGGCUUGCAGCUGAUACGGGCAGGCUUGAGUUCGGUAGGGGAGACUGGAAUUCCUGGUGUAGCGGUGAAAUGCGCAGAUAUCAGGAGGAACACCGGUGGCGAAGGCGGCUACCUGGCCCAUUCUUGACGCUGAGGCGCGAAAGCUAGGGGAGCAAACGGG